AUGGCUACUCUACCCUCCUCCCCCUCUUUCCUAUUCUACUCCCAGCUGUAAAUACCUUCAUAAAACUGUUCCAUCUAUAUCCCUCAGGCCUCAUCUCAUACUCAUACUCAUUGAAACUCUGCAUUUAACAUCCUGCAGCAAAUCCAACAACCCUCAGGCCUCAUCUCACACUCAUACUCGAUGGAGCUCUCCAUUUAACAUCGUGCAGCAAAUCCAACAACCCUCAGGCCUCAUCUCAUAUUCAUACUCAGUGGAGCUCUGCAUUUAACAUCCUGCAGCAAAUCCAACAACCCUCGCCACUUACUGCCCACCCAGGUUUCCCCUAAAUAUAUAACAUGCUCGUCCAGCUGAGUGAGAUUCUCCCUCAAUUACUUAUUCAUUCC
Molecule: non-coding RNA, 383 nt
Organism: Pelobates cultripes (western spadefoot toad)
Lineage: Eukaryota; Metazoa; Chordata; Amphibia; Anura; Pelobatidae
Source: the annotation of a GenBank genome assembly